UCUCAACCUUUUGUUUUAGCUUUUUUGUUUAUUAUAAUUAAUGGUUAAAUUUUGAUUUGUUUUAAUUUAGUGAAUUAUAUUUAACAAUGUUGCUUCUAUUAAAUACAAUAUAAAUUGUAUUGCUGUUAUUACAGUUAAGGCUUUUUUUGCUUGAAAAAUGCAACAGUUACUAACACGUUGGUUGAAAAGGGAUUACAUGUUUGCGGCACCAUGUUGAUCAACAUAAUCAUCUUUAGACUCAACAGUUCAUCGCUCUAAAUUAAUCAGUAUUCAUCUUGUAACUUGAUUGUGAUCCAUGAUUAACUGUAACCAGUAAAAAAUCUGGAACGAUUGAAAUCUGAAUUGGCUGAAACAUUUUGUGGUCAUGGAAGCAUUAAAUUGUAUAAUUGACUGGCCUGUUGUUGAUAAAUAACCGGACAAAAUGUACCAAUCACAAGAUAAAGAGUAACAAGAUCAAGUUAAUCAAGAUCAAUCACAAUUACUGUUAAAGGCUGAUCAAGAUGAUGCUGAUGAAGAUUGAAUAACCGGAUAUCGAAGUUGAUGGUUAUUAGAUUCAAUUGAAAAGGUCAACAAAGGUAAAUGUUAGCCUAAUCACCAUCAUAAUGAUAAUGAUGAUGAUCAAGGAUCAGGAUGAUAAUUACUGCGAUUUUGAAAGACUAAUUCAAGGAGUGUCUUUUUGUUUACCGUGUUAAUCAGCUGAUGGAAAAGUAUUACACAAUUUGUCUCUAGAUGAACAUUAAGUAUCAAUGUUGAAGAUUAAUUAACCGUUUUAAUCAAGUGAAAGUGACCUGACCUUAUAAUUAAUAUGGCAUUAAUGUGAGAGUUGUAAAUUGAUGCAUCACUAACUAAUGAUGUAUUUUAAGCGUAUUGACAACAUUGAUAUUUGGUUGCAAUCAUCACCAUCACAGUCAUCAUGUAAUGCAUGUUACACAUUAUCAUGGCUUCUGUAUUUGGAUAAUCAACAUUUCAUGAUCUCAAGCCUAACUGGAAUGGAUUUCCUUAGGAUCUUACAGGCAAAAGCAAAAAGGAUUCAAGUUUAAGGUUUUCUGCUUCAAACAAUUUAACCCGGUGAGAGAGUAAAUAAAGAGACAAAAGCAAAAACAAAAACAAGGACAACAUUUAUUAAGGAAACUGGUUUAGCCAUUUUUUUUCUUAUAUUCAUGAUACUGUACGGAUUGACAUGAUUUUGUUGUUACCGUAUUUAACAACAACUGCUGUUGAGUCAGUCAACUUAUUGUGGUUUACAUUUUAUCAACAGUAAUUAUUAAUCAUGAGGACGAUGUUGAUGAUAAUUACUGGUGAUGCUUGGUGUUUAUUUACCAGUCUAUUCAUUUAGUCUGCUGCUAAUGGUUACUUUGGGAUUCUGUUUGGCAGCCUUUCGAGGCUUGCCGUGAUUAACCUGUCCGUUUGUCGUCAAUUUUGGCUGUCUCGAUCCACCCAUUGAAAGUGUUGAAGCAUUUUUGCGAAAAAAAGGAGCAAACAAAUUGGAUGGUCAAUCAAAUAAUCUUUAGCUGAUCAAAUUAAAUGAAAGACACUGAGACAAUUUGUAUUUAUUUACCAAAAAUAGGAUUAAGAGGAUCAUUUUAAUCUUUAACAAGCUCUUGAAUUUUGAGGCUGCCAAUUUAACCUUAUAGAGGCUCAAUAUUGCUGCAAUUUAAAUGGAUAUCAAUAGAUUUUAAUCUGUUCAUGUAAAUGUUAACUCUAAACCACAACAACACCAACAGCACUGCCAACAAAGCUUCGUAACAGCUACCAAACAGCAUCUGAUUGUUGAUCAAGCAAGGAUUGGUAGCUGAUUGUAAUAUUUAUAUGUUAUGAGUGAGAGCAAAAGAGUGUCUGUUUAAUUGAAUUAACCACCAAAUUAAGUGUAAAAUUGAAAAGUGAAGUGAAAUUUGUGAUGUAAUAUGUUGAUAACUGUUGGAUAAGCCUAAAUCUGAACGGUGUUCAUUUAUAGUGACUGUUGAUUAAUUGUUGAUGGAAAUUAAUGGAGUUAACUCAGCUUAACAUCUUAAUCUUUUCUAUUGCUUAUUUACUCUGAGAAUUUAAUGUAAAUAAUUUAUCUAGAUCAACAUCAUAAUAAAUUAUAUUUACAUGUACAUGUAAUAUAUUUACACCAAGAAAUGGUCAAACAAUCAAACAAAUCUUUUUCACAAGUUCAAUCAAAUAAUUGAAGGCAAAAUUUUCAAAUUAUUUUGAACAAUUUUGCAUUUAAAACUCAACAAAUUGUAUUCACAUUUUUCAAUCAAAUGUGUUGACUUGGAAAAUACCGUUGGACUCAUCAAUUACUGGCUCGCAUAUCUCAUCAUUAAAGUUGACCAGUUUUAAUUACCAUCAUUUUGUUUCACAAUCAACUUGUAUCAAAAUUUUGUUGCCCUAAAUUCAAUUGGUGAAUCUAAAUUUGACUGCCUUAAGAUUGGAAUGAACGGAAAUCUCCAGUGAAUCUUGAAGAAAUUGAUGAUUAAAGAGGAAGAAGAAGGUGGACAGAGAAGAAGAUGAUGAUCAUGAUGAUGAAGAAGAGAGUUUAUUCUUAUAAUUCGUUGAACCGUAAAUUGCUUGGGCUUCUUCGCCUUCAACAUCACCAUCAUCAAGAUUAACCCUCAAGACAUAUUUUCACCCGAUUUUGUUUUACUUCUUGUUCAUCAUCUCUGCCUGUCAUACCUUAUUUAAACAAACAGGUCUUCAUUAUAAUAAUCAACGCAAUCGUCUUCCAAUAAUUCAACUUGUUUAGCCUGAAAGAUUUCAUAACGAUUCAUCUUCCUUGCGGAAGCAAAUCACCCAUCAUCCUUGUAUUAUCAACUCGCAUCUUCAAUUGGCUUUAAAGUGAUUCUCAUCCAUGUUGGUGGUUACAGACUGUGUCAAUGUGUCUUCGGAAUGAUCAAUGAAUGACCAAUGGUUUCGACUCUUCAAGAUCGAUUAUAAAUUUUAAUUGUGGCUGGUGUAAUUUAACAACUUUUGGCUUCUAUUCAAUUCGUUAAAUGAUUGAUUUGUUUGAUUAAACAACUAUUAAGAUUAGGCACUGAU
Non-coding RNA from Tetranychus urticae (two-spotted spider mite), 3021 nucleotides. Lineage: Eukaryota; Metazoa; Arthropoda; Arachnida; Trombidiformes; Tetranychidae. The record is from RefSeq and is a predicted model, not a curated record.